This is a non-coding RNA of Macaca mulatta (Rhesus monkey), 649 nucleotides long. NCBI's taxonomy places the organism in Eukaryota, Metazoa, Chordata, Mammalia, Primates, Cercopithecidae. The record is from RefSeq and is a predicted model, not a curated record.
UAUCAUAAUUUGCUUUUUUAACAAAAAUGAGGACUGGAGAGUGAGAAAUUAUGUUUCAAAACACCAUGCAUUUGUCAAUAAAUUGUAAAGUCAUUAGUGUUUAAGUUUUUGCCUAUAUUUUUAGGCCAACCCUGCUUGUUCCUGUGAGCCAACCAGCAAUCUCCAGCUGCAGCUCAGAAAGAAGAAGGGGAUGGGCCAUCAAACUCCAAAUGGUCAUGCAACCGGAGCCUCAGACGAUGGCCCCUUCGGCCAGGAACCCUUAGAUAGGCUUCUGAGGGAGCUCCGACUGCCAUUUCCCAGAACACCGGCCCUUCUCAGCAGGAGGCAAUUUAGAUCAGUCUUCAUUCUUACCCUUAUCCUUUUUCUAACAGCAGUUAGAUGUACUUCUUGAGAGCCGGGAAUGAGACAGCCAAGUGUAAAGGUGUCCCCAUAGAACCUCUGACAAACUCACACGCUGGGAGGAAUGUGCACUGGGAUGGAGCCUCAGGAAGUUCCUGCAGAGGAGCCCGGCCCCUCCCCUUCCAGGGUGGAAUCUGGGAUUCAAUCUGCGAGGUGGGAAGUGUGUACUAGCAGGACUCUCACUCUGCUGAGGGUCCCUAUUUCCCCCCCUUUUUUUUUUUGCCCAAUAAAUUCCAUUUUUCUCACCCUC